GCCCGCAGGGCGCUGGGCGUCCUCCUCUGGCAGCUCCAGGCGGUGCCGGGGCGCCGCGGCGGCGAACCCGGGCUGGGAGCGGCUGCCGCCGAGCUUAAGUGUCCGCUCGCGCCCGACUGCUUUUCAGUGUGGACCCGGAAUCCUCAAAAGAAGGGAGUGGUGAAGAGGGGAAGGUGGCGAUGAGGGUUUAUUUUUUCUUUUCCCCAAUGUGGGAAGAAAUGAAAGACGUUCGUUGCACUUGCUCAGCAAACAAGCACAUGACCCAAAUCUUUAUUCGGGCUUCGUAGCAGUCAUCAAGCUGAAUGUUUCCCCUCCAGUGAAAGCAAGCGGGAGUGACAGGAGGAGGGACUUGGAAAAAGAUCGAGGAGCGGAAGGAGAGGUGUCAGCAUCUUCUCUCCUGCUUACGACCGUUGCGAUACGUCAUCACUGACCUGGAGAAAUUCACCCCAGCCGAGAGUACAGGGCAGAGUUCCCGAUGUCACUGGGCACCCAGCCCUAAGGAGCUCUGUGAUUCAUCGCAGAUCCGGAAGGAUGGCUAAAAUCCACAGUCGUAGUACAGUAGUUGCUGAAGUGCUCAAAUUGGACUUAUGUCUGGUCACAGGAAAUAAGUGACCGUGGUGCUCAAUAGUUUGCAUAAGAUGAUUCAGCUCCAAAAAAACACUGCUAACAUUCGGGAUAUCUGUGUUUUGGCUCACGUAGACCAUGGAAAAACUACUUUGGCUGACUGUCUUAUAUCUAGCAAUGGAAUAUUCUCCAGCCGCCUGGCAGGCAAGUUGAGGUACAUGGACAGCAGAGAAGACAAACAGGUCCGAGGGAUCACUAUGAAAUCCAGUGCCAUCUCCCGGCAUUAUGCGGAAGAAUUGAGCACUUUGCCAAAAUCUACAGUCAAAAAACUGGCAUCAGAAAGGAAGUUCUUUUGGAAGCAUUGUGGGGAGAUUAUUAUAUAAAUAUGAAGGCUAAGAAGAUUGUGAAGGUAGAUCAGGUUUUUGUAAAGCUUGAUGCUGCAGUUUUGGGCACUGAUUAGACUAUUAUUACCCAGAGAAGGCAAUGGCACCCCACUCCAGUACUCUUCCUGGAAAAAUCCCAUGGACAUAGGAGCCUGGUAGGCUGAGUCCGUGGGGUCGCUAAGACUCCAACACUACUGAGCGACUUCACUUUCACUUUUCACUUGCAUGCAUUGGAGAAGGAAAUAGCAACCCGCUCGACUGUACUUCCCUGGAGAAUCGGAGGGACGGUGGAGCUUGGUGGCCUGCCAUCUAUGGAGUGGCACAGGGUCGGACAUGACUUAAGCGGCUUAGCAGCAGCAGCAGCUAACUAAUACCAAAGAGAAAUUGGGGUCAAUCAGAUUUUUAACACUUGUUUGUGUCUCACAUUUCUGCCAUGAUAGGAACAUGAUAUGUUCCUUAUCCUAAAGUCCAUAUUUUCAUAUGGAAAUUACGUAGAUAAUUUUUAACCUUCAUAAGCAUGUACAUUUAUUAUGAAGGUUUUUUUUAUUCUACUGUGCUCUCCAAAUUUUAUGUUUUAUGUUUCCGAUUCCUUCGCUAAACUCACUUCGGAAAUGUUAAAAUGUUUAUUUGUACUUCCUUUUUAAAAAAGUAU
Molecule: long non-coding RNA, 1599 nt
Organism: Dama dama (fallow deer)
Lineage: Eukaryota; Metazoa; Chordata; Mammalia; Artiodactyla; Cervidae
Exons: 6
Source: RefSeq, a predicted model, not a curated record